AUUGAACGCUGGCGGCAUGCCUUACACAUGCAAGUCGAACGGCAGCGGACCUUCGAGUGCCGGCGAGUGGCGAACGAGUGAGUAAUAUAUCGGAACGUACCUUUCAGUGGGGAUAACAUAGCGAAAGUUACGCUAAUACCGCAUAUUCUGUGAGCAGGAAAGCAGGGGGAUCGCAAGACCUUGCGCUGAUUGAGCGGCCGAUAUCAGAUUAGCUAGUUGGUGAGGUAAAGGCUCACCAAGGCGACGAUCUGUAGCGGGUCUGAGAGGAUGAUCCGCCACACUGGAACUGAGACACGGUCCAGACUCCUACGGGAGGCAGCAGUGGGGAAUUUUGGACAAUGGGCGCAAGCCUGAUCCAGCCAUGCCGCGUGAGUGAAGAGGGCCUUCGGGUUGUAAAGCUCUUUCGGCCGGGAAGAAAUCGCACAGGUUAAUACCCUGUGUGGAUGACGGUACCGGAAUAAGAAGCACCGGCUAACUACGUG
RNAcentral lists this ribosomal RNA (482 nucleotides) under uncultured bacterium. RNAcentral's name for it is "bacterial SSU rRNA". It matches the Rfam family "Bacterial small subunit ribosomal RNA", at positions 30 to 507 of the family's 1533-position model. The record is from RNAcentral.